GAUGAACGCUGGCGGCGUGCCUAAUACAUGCAAGUCGAGCGAACGGACGAGAAGCUUGCUUCUCUGAUGUUAGCGGCGGACGGGUGAGUAACACGUGGAUAACCUACCUAUAAGACUGGGAUAACUUCGGGAAACCGGAGCUAAUACCGGAUAAUAUUUUGAACCGCAUGGUUCAAAAGUGAAAGACGGUCUUGCUGUCACUUAUAGAUGGAUCCGCGCUGCAUUAGCUAGUUGGUAAGGUAACGGCUUACCAAGGCAACGAUGCAUAGCCGACCUGAGAGGGUGAUCGGCCACACUGGAACUGAGACACGGUCCAGACUCCUACGGGAGGCAGCAGUAGGGAAUCUUCCGCAAUGGGCGAAAGCCUGACGGAGCAACGCCGCGGGAGUGAUGAAGGUCUUCGGAUCGUAAAACUCUGUUAUUAGGGAAGAACAUAUGUGUAAGUAACUGUGCACAUCUUGACGGUACCUAAUCAGAAGGCCACGGCUAACUACGU
Molecule: ribosomal RNA, 496 nt
Filed under: uncultured bacterium
Lineage: Bacteria
Description: partial 16S ribosomal RNA
Rfam family: Bacterial small subunit ribosomal RNA
Source: RNAcentral